Molecule: ribosomal RNA, 494 nt
Filed under: uncultured bacterium
Lineage: Bacteria
Description: partial 16S ribosomal RNA
Rfam family: Bacterial small subunit ribosomal RNA
Source: RNAcentral
GACGAACGCUGGCGGCGUGCUUAACACAUGCAAGUCGAACGGUGAAGCGCCUUCCUUUUUGGUGGGUGUGGAUGAGUGGCGAACGGGUGAGUAACACGUGAGUAACCUGCCCCCUUCUUCUGGAUAACCGCAUGAAAGUGUGGCUAAUACGGGAUAUUCUGGGUCUGUCGCAUGAUGGGUCUGGGAAAGAUAUUGUUUCGGUGGGGGAUGGGCUCGCGGCCUAUCAGCUUGUUGGUGGGGUGAUGGCCUACCAAGGCGGUGACGGGUAGCCGGCCUGAGAGGGUGGACGGUCACACUGGGACGGAGACACGGCCCAGACUCCUACGGGCGGCAGCAGUGGGGAAUAGUGCACAAUGGGCGCAAGCCUGAUGCAGCGACGCCGCGUGAGGGAUGGAGGCCUUCGGGUUGUGAACCUCUUUCGCCAGUGAAGCAGGCCUGCCUAGUUUGUGGGUGGGUUGACGGUAGCGGGAGAAGAAGCGCCGGCUAACUACGUG